This 244-nucleotide unclassified non-coding RNA is filed under the name uncultured Helotiales. RNAcentral describes it as "sequence contains 5.8S rRNA gene". The stretch from base 1 to 53 matches the Rfam family "5.8S ribosomal RNA", at positions 102 to 154 of the family's 154-position model. Lineage: Eukaryota; Fungi; Ascomycota; Leotiomycetes; Helotiales. The record is from RNAcentral.
GAACGCACAUUGCGCCCCUUGGUAUUCCGAGGGGCAUGCCUGUCCGAGCGUCAUUUCAACCCUCAAGCACAGCUUGGUCUUGGGCUUCGCUGCUAACCCAGCGGGUCUUAAAAUCAGUGGCGGUGCCGUCGGGCCCUGAGCGCAGUAAUUCUUCUCGCUAUAGGGUCCCGGUGGAUACUGGCCAUCAACCCCCAAUCUUCAAUGGUUGACCUCGGAUCAGGUAGGGAUACCCGCUGAACUUAAG